Nothobranchius furzeri (turquoise killifish) is the source of this 2805-nucleotide non-coding RNA. The record is from RefSeq and is a predicted model, not a curated record. Lineage: Eukaryota; Metazoa; Chordata; Actinopteri; Cyprinodontiformes; Nothobranchiidae.
UUUAUAUUUUUACAACUUGCGAAGAUUUUGUACUAGAAAUUUGAACGUUUAAGACAUAGUUUGAUAGAUAGCGCAAUCGUAAUUUUUCUCUGAAACACUUUUAUAUAAAAUUAAGCAUUAUUGGCAGUGGGGGAAGACGUCAUGGACGCAAAUUUCUUAAUAUAAUUUUUAAUGGGCUACACGCAAGCCUUUUGGCCAAAAUAAACGUAACAAUAGGCUGUUUAUUUGACCGUUUAUGACUCCUCAUCUAAUAAGCAGCAAACUCACGAUUUUUUUAUUAUUAAGCUCCUCCUAGCUGUUCCGAAUGCACGUUUAAAAAGCCGUGGAGAAAGGGCUUUCUCUGUGCACCGAAGCUGUGGAACGCAUUACCACUGCUAGUGAGGCAAGCACCAACAGCUAGCAUUUUUAAAUCACGCCUGAAAACUCACUACAACCUAGCUUACACAUAAUUAUGAACCUCACUUACAUCUGCACUGUUUAAAAAUUGACUUUACAAUAUCAACUUCCGUACUAUUGAGGUUCUUUUUAAAAUGUUUUUCUAAUUUUUUUAUUCUCCCUGUGUCUUAUUGAUUUUUAGCUGUUAGCUUUUGGGAAUUUUGUUGUAUUUCCUUUGUAUCUUUUAUCUGUGUUCGACAUGAUUGUAUAACGCCGGUUUACUUAACUAACAUUUUUAGUGUACAGCGCCUUGUUUGGUUUUUAUUUAUUUUAUUUUUUUUACAGAAAGAUGCUGACCAGAAAGAUGCCAUCAUCAUCCCACUGUGGAUUCGAGGGCAUUUUCUGCUGAGCGUAAUGAGGCCACUCCAGAAAGAAAUUUCAUUUCUGGAUUCCCAUUAUUUCAGAAGAGCAGAUGGUUUCUCCAGUCAGGCCUACAGGAAUCUGUUGAGGUUGUCAGUGUUGUGUGUGCUGGAGGUCACGUUAUCCUGACCUGCCAAUGUUUACAAAAAUUUCCUAAAAUAAGUUCAAUCAGGGGGCAAUGUGAUAAUAAAUGUACUUUGCUCUGCACAUUUGUUAUAGGGUCAGAUGAGAUCUGCUUCAAAUAGCUGAAAGUGAAGAAAAUAGACAAAUAUUAAAUGCAAUGAAAAGGGGAGGGGGACAGAAAGACAAUGUCCUUUUUGAACGUUAGGGAAUUAUGAAUAUUUACCAAUUUGCAUGGUCCCGUUCUUGGACAUGUUCUCUGUUCUGUGGAUUACAGAUAUUAGGCAUGUUUCCAUUAGCAGAACUCCAGGGUAGUUCCUGGGAUGGGGAACUUGACCAGGAGAUAGGAUGUCCCAGUCCUCUCAGCUGUUGUGUGGGCACACAUUUACACUAAAAUAUGUAGUGCAGAUCAUUACAAUAAACUGUAUAUUAGAGAAGACAUGAUAAACUGCAUGGAUAGAAUUAGCACUGUCCACAAUCCAUUUAUUAACUUUAUGUAAUGCUGUUUUUGUUGUGGUUUUGUUUUGUUACUGUGUUGAUUUCAAGUAAUUCAAUUGUGUAAUGUAGCUUUACAUGAACCUAACAUAGUUCUUCAAUUGAAGCCAUGCAAAAUACUACAUGUUAUCCAAUCAGUGGCUCCAGCUUCUGUACCUGGAACUCAAUUAACGUCAUAUAGAAACAUUUCUUGGCUUAAAGAUGCAAUUAUAAAUAAGAUAUCCAACAAAAGAAUACAAAAAAUCGUGUGUCACGUUAUUGUAUACGGCAUUACGUCAUUCACCAUUAUCAUGAAGACACCACAAUCAUUGCCAUGUGUCUGCUUAGGAACACCCUGUAUGACAGUUAAAUUCAACAAAUAGCCGAUAAUUACAUUUCAGUUUAAUUUUGAUACUGCAGGCAAUACCUCCAAAUCCAGAGCAGUUUUCUCCACCCAGGUUCCCACAGCUGUCUGCUGUGCAACAUCUCUGAGUAACCCCAAAAAAAAAACAACAACAACAACAAUGUAAAACUUAAAAAGCUAUACACAGCUAUGAUUUUGUAAGAGAUAAAAAAAAAUAAGAAAUUGAUGGCAUGUGAACCGUAUCAAUAGGCGUGUUUCCACUACAAGAACUUGAGGAUAGAUUUACAGGAACCUCCCGACAUGUCAAACGGCCGUUUUCAGGACACUUCUGAGUACCUGCUCUGGAGUAGCUGAUUGGUUGUAACUCAGUAGGAAAUGACAUCAGCAGAGGUGUAUUUUAACACUCCCUACAGCUUUCCACCCAGAGAACAGGUGAAUAUGAGUGAAGAUUAUUGCAUGACAACAAAAUAAAAUUAAUUGUAACUGCUGUGCAUGAAGUCAUGUUUUUUGUGUGUCGUGAUUAAGAACAAUGACGGCAUGGACCAACACAACGUGGUCAGCAUUCUGAAAAAUUUUUUGUAUCACAUGAAAAUAUUUUUUGCCUUUACUGUUGUCAGUCUAUAACUCAUGGUUAAUAUCUUGUUACCUGCAACAUGACAGACUAAUGUCUACAUGAAAGAUGGCCUUUUGUUCACCUCAUUACUCAGGCAACCAUCCAUGCACUUUCAGCUGUCCAUGAAUGUUGACCAGACAAAGCCACAGAAAUGUACAGCAGUGUGACUGGAGGUAUUCUACAAACACAAGAACAGUGCUAAUGUCUAUAGGUAUUGUUUUCACAUUGUUUAUGACAGCCUCUAGGUGUAAAUGUCAUUUUUACUAAUUGCUAUUUAUCUUUGUCUCAUUAGUGAGAGGCAGCUGAUGUCCUAUGCCAUGGAACUGCUCAUACUCUGAGAAAUUCAGAAAAGCUCUGGACUCAUGUCAUUGUGUGGACAUUUUUAUUUUUUAUUUUUCGAAGGUUUUUGUAGGCCAAUAAAAGCUGUUGCUGGAUGGUU